Pseudophryne corroboree (corroboree frog) is the source of this 386-nucleotide long non-coding RNA. RefSeq lists it as uncharacterized. The record is from RefSeq and is a predicted model, not a curated record. The transcript has 2 exons. Lineage: Eukaryota; Metazoa; Chordata; Amphibia; Anura; Myobatrachidae.
AGAAUGGAGAGUCAAGUCAGUACAGGAGAUUUCAGAUGAGCCUUGUCCUCCCAACUUCAAAGGCCUCACCGCACGUUCUAUUCCCACCCCAGCAUCUCCUUACUGAGGUGUUCACACUCACUCCUCCUUUAAAUCAAGAAAUAUUACAUUUCUUGGCACAGAUGAGAAUCUUUCGUCAGAGCUGAUGGCCUCACAUGAAAACCUGACUUGCCGACUUGUAAUCUAUUUAGGAUAUGCAGACACAUUAACCCUUUAGGCAUUUUUGGAAAUGUGAAUAAUUACAGUUACACAAGAUGGAGGAUUAUACCGGCUGCUUGACAGAUUUUAUUGAAGCAUAAUACUGAAUACUGUAUUUUGUCAAGAAAAAUAAAUGGUUUAACUUUAAA